AGUAAGACGUGAGAGUAGGCAAAUCCGCUCUCUAUAACGUUGAGCUAUGAUGGCGAGCUCGAAUGAGCGAAGUUCCUGAUUUCACACUGUCAAGAAAAGCCUCUAGCGAGGUAGGAGGUACCCGUACCGCAAACCGACACAGGUAGUCGAGGAGAGAAUCCUAAGGUGAGCGAGAGAACUCUCGUUAAGGAACUCGGCAAAAUGACCCCGUAACUUCGGGAGAAGGGGUGCUCUAGUAGGGUGCAAGCCCGAGAGAGCCGCAGUGAAUAGGCCCAGGCGACUGUUUAGCAAAAACACAGGUCUCUGCAAAACCGUAAGGUGACGUAUAGGGGCUGACGCCUGCCCGGUGCUGGAAGGUUAAGGGGAUUGCUUAGCGCAAGCGAAGGUGAGAACCGAAGCCCCAGUAAACGGCGGCCGUAACUAUAACGGUCCUAAGGUAGCGAAAUUCCUUGUCGGGUAAGUUCCGACCCGCACGAAAGGCGUAACGAUCUGGGCACUGUCUCAACGAGAGACUCGGUGAAAUUAUAGUACCUGUGAAGAUGCAGGUUACCCGCGACAGGACGGAAAGACCCCGUGGAGCUUUACUGUAGCCUGAUAUUGAAUUUUGGUACAGCUUGUACAGGAUAGGUAGGAGCCAGAGAGACCGGAGCGCAGCUUCGGUGGAGGCGUCCUUGGGAUACUACCCCAGCUGUAUUGAAAUUCUAACCCGUACCCCUAUGCGGGGUAGGAGACAGUGUCAGGCGGACAGUUUGACUGGGGCGGUCGCCUCCUAAAGAGUAACGGAGGCGCCCAAAGGUUCCCUCAGAAUGGUUGGAAAUCAUUCGCAGAGUGUAAAGGCACAAGGGAGCUUGACUGCGAGACCUACAAGUCGAGCAGGGUCGAAAGACGGGCUUAGUGAUCCGGUGGUUCCGCAUGGAAGGGCCAUCGCUCAACGGAUAAAAGCUACCCCGGGGAUAACAGGCUUAUCUCCCCCAAGAGUCCACAUCGACGGGGAGGUUUGGCACCUCGAUGUCGGCUCAUCGCAUCCUGGGGCUGUAGUCGGUCCCAAGGGUUGGGCUGUUCGCCCAUUAAAGCGGUACGCGAGCUGGGUUCAGAACGUCGUGAGACAGUUCGGUCCCUAUCCGUCGUGGGCGUAGGAAAUUUGAGAGGAGCUGUCCUUAGUACGAGAGGACCGGGAUGGACACACCGCUGGUGUACCAGUUGUUCUGCCAAGAGCAUCGCUGGGUAGCUAUGUGUGGACGGGAUAAGUGCUGAAAGCAUCUAAGCAUGAAGCCCCCCUCAAGAUGAGAUUUCCCAUUACGCAAGUAAGUAAGAUCCCUUGAAGACGACAAGGUAGAUAGGUUCGAGGUGGAAGUGUGGUGACACAUGGAGCUGACGAAUACUAAUCGAUCGAGGACUUAACC
RNAcentral lists this ribosomal RNA (1403 nucleotides) under metagenome. RNAcentral describes it as "bacterial LSU rRNA". It matches the Rfam family "Bacterial large subunit ribosomal RNA", at positions 1518 to 2925 of the family's 2925-position model. The record is from RNAcentral.